CAAGAUGAGAUUUCCCAACAUGUAAGACCCCUUGAAGACGACGAGGUAGAUAGGUUGGAGGUGGAAGCACGGCAACGUGUGGAGCUGACCAAUACUAAUCGGUCGAGGGCUUAUCCAAAUUCACCCCA
Molecule: ribosomal RNA, 128 nt
Rfam family: Bacterial large subunit ribosomal RNA